ACUCAGCUGGGAGGUGUGGAUGAAUCUGGAAACAGCCGUUUACAUGGCAAUAAAUCAAGCCCAAUAUUACUAAGAACUCCUGCAUUUCUUUGGCUUUUUUCUCAUUUUUCUUAUUUAUCAUGGUUUGUAAUGAAUUUUCUGAUGUGAGCUUUGGUUUUGAGACUGGUAUAUUGAGCUCAGGGCACAAGAGGAAGGUUCUUUUUCAAUCAGGGCACAGCUGUUGGCUUGCUCCAAUUCUGGCUUGCUGUCAUUGUUGUAGGUUCCUCCGCUGACUUUUGGAUUCUUCAGUGGCAAUUUCCUAAAUGUUUUCUGGGUCUGAGUUGGUUUUGCCUUCUUCCUUGCCAAAUUUUGUAUUCUGACGCAAUACAAACAAGAGCUUGGGCAGAGUAGCCAUUAUGAAAUAAAAAACAAAACAAAUAGGCAUUUGAAGUUUUGAAAUCUACAGGUAAGAAGACUAAGGUGAGUUUUUGAGUUUUGGAAGAUAAAAUGGAACACUUUGGCUGAGGUGACAGAUAUUAAUUGCCUCCAAACCGAGUUUCACUGCGAUAUUCAGGUUAAUUCAGUCAGAAACCACAGACACUCAGCUGGGAGGUGUGGAUGAAUCUGGAAACAGCCGUUUACAUGGCAAUAAAUCAAGCCCAAUAUUACUAAGAACUCCUGCAUUUCUUUGGCUUUUUUCUCAUUUUUCUUAUUUAUCAUGGUUUGUAAUGAAUUUUCUGAUGUGAGCUUUGGUUUUGAGACUGGUAUAUUGAGCUCAGGGCACAAGAGGAAGGUUCUUUUUCAAUCAGGGCACAGCUGUUGGCUUGCUCCAAUUCUGGCUUGCUGUCAUUGUUGUAGGUUCCUCAGCUGACUUUUGGAUUCUUGAGUGGCAAUUUCCUAAAUGUUUUCUGGGUCUGAGUUGGUUUUGCCUUCUUCCUUGCCAAAUUUUGUAUUCUGACGCAAUACAAACAAGAGCUUGGGCAGAGUAGCCAUUAUGAAAUAAAAAACAAAACAAAUAGGCAUUUGAAGUUUUGAAAUCUACAGGUAAGAAGACUAAGGUGAGUUUUUGAGUUUUGGAAGAUAAAAUGGAACACUUUGGCUGAGGUGACAGAUAUUAAUUGCCUCCAAACCGAGUUUCACUGCGAUAUUCAGGUUAAUUCAGUCAGAAACCACAGACACUCAGCUGGGAGGUGUGGAUGAAUCUGGAAACAGCCGUUUACAUGGCAAUAAAUCAAGCCCAAUAUUACUAAGAACUCCUGCAUUUCUUUGGCUUUUUUCUCAUUUUUCUUAUUUAUCAUGGUUUGUAAUGAAUUUUCUGAUGUGAGCUUUGGUUUUGAGGCUGGUAUAUUGAGCUCAGGGCACAAGAGGAAGGUUCUUUUUCAAUCAGGGCACAGCUGUUGGCUUGCUCCAAUUCUGGCUUGCUGCCAUUGUUGUAGGUUCCUCAGCUGACUUUUGGAUUCUUGAGUGGCAAUUUCCUAAAUGUUUUCUGGGUCUGAGUUGGUUUUGCCUUCUUCCUUGCCAAAUUUUGUAUUCUGACGCAAUACAAACAAGAGCUUGGGCAGAGUAGCCAUUAUGAAAUAAAAAACAAAACAAAUAGGCAUUUGAAGUUUUGAAAUCUACAGGUAAGAAGACUAAGGUGAGUUUUUGAGUUUUGGAAGAUAAAAUGGAACACUUUGGCUGAGGUGACAGAUAUUAAUUGCCUCCAAACCGAGUUUCACUGCGAUUUUCAGGUUAAUUCAGUCAGAAACCACAGAUACUCAGCUGGGAGGUGUGGAUGAAUCUGGAAACAGCCGUUUACAUGGCAAUAAAUCAAGCCCAAUAUUACUAAGA
This is a non-coding RNA of Oryctolagus cuniculus (rabbit), 1809 nucleotides long. Lineage: Eukaryota; Metazoa; Chordata; Mammalia; Lagomorpha; Leporidae. The record is from RefSeq and is a predicted model, not a curated record.